UCUUGUCGGAUCGUCUACGGUGCCUCUCGCGAGAGAGGUGAAACAGGGAAUGCGGUACGGCGCGAAAGCGCCAAAGCCGCGGCUGCCCCCGCAACUGUAAGCGGAUCGUCGCCGAUCACAUGCGCCACUGAGUCCGCCAAGACGGCCUCGGGAAGGCGAUCGGGACAACAUCCGCGAGCCAGGAGACCGGCCGUAGAUUCGUGCAAUGC
RNAcentral lists this non-coding RNA (209 nucleotides) under Rhodopseudomonas palustris. Lineage: Bacteria; Pseudomonadati; Pseudomonadota; Alphaproteobacteria; Hyphomicrobiales; Nitrobacteraceae. RNAcentral also lists the same sequence under 1 other name. The record is from RNAcentral.